CCGACACGGGGAGGUAGUGACAAGAAAUAGCGAUUCCGGGUCUUUAUAGAUCUGGUUAUUGCAAUGGACGUAUUGUAAAUGCCUACGUGAGUAUCCAUUGGAGGGCAAGUCUGGUGCCAGCAGCCGCGGUAAUUCCAGCUCCAAUAGCGUAUAUUAAAGUUGUUGCAGUUAAAAAGCUCGUAGUUGGAUUUCAGUCUUAACUCGUCUGGCCCGCUCCCUUGAGGAGCCGAGUGCCGGUUGCGAGUUGGACUUCCUUCUAGCAUGGAACCUCUACCGUUAUGCGGCCGGGGGGGUACAUCUGGAUCAUUUACUUUGAAGAAAUUAGAGUGUUCAAAGCAAGCUUACGCUGUGAAUAUAUUAGCAUGGAAUAAUAACAUAGGACUUUGUUUCUAUUUUGUUGGUUUCUAGAAACGAGUAAUGAUUGAUAGGGACAGUUGGGGGUGCUGCUAU
RNAcentral lists this ribosomal RNA (450 nucleotides) under uncultured chlorarachniophyte. RNAcentral describes it as "bacterial SSU rRNA". It matches the Rfam family "Eukaryotic small subunit ribosomal RNA", at positions 451 to 897 of the family's 1831-position model. The record is from RNAcentral. Lineage: Eukaryota; Cercozoa; Chlorarachniophyceae.